AUCUUGGAUAAAAAAAAGAGAGAAACUAUUCAGUGCACAACAAACAGCGAUGAAGUCGUGAUGCCAGAAUGGUCAAUCGAGCAGAGCAGGCGGCGGCAGCCCCGCACGCGCCGCGUCCGUGCGCGGCGGCCGAAAAAACGCGCGAGGCCGCCCGCGGUCCGACGAGACCGCGGCGGGAAGAGGGAAGCGAUCGACGGCCGGCCGGGCCUAGAGCUAGAGGGCGGAGGCGAGGUGCAUCGUCUCCGCCGCGACCGCGACGGUGUCGGAGAACCGCUGCAGCGCCUCGCGCAUCCACGGGUGGGGGCAGCGCGCGAUGGCCUCGGCGGCGGAGACCCACUCCCUGCGGCGCGCGGCCAUCUCGGGCCACCGGUCCAGCUCCGCGGUGACGCGCAGCGGGAGCACGAAGCCCUCGUACGUGGCGUCGUAGCUGCGGCUGCGGUAGCACCAGCGGCCCAUGGACUCGUCCAGCUCCCACCCGCCCUUGGGGAUCAGCACGCCCCCCGCGGGGCCCUUCUUCUGCGAGCUGAUCACCAGGACCUCCACCUCGCCGUCGCCCCCGCGCACGCGGUACGGGACGCAGCCCACCACCACGCGCCCGCCCGUGCUCGCGCUGUACCGCUGCAGCUCCCGGCCUUGGCGAGACACCAUAACUGCUGCCAUCUCUGUCGGUCUCUGCCUCAAAUUACUCGCUCCUUGUGGGAGAAGGGGGAUUCUCUCAAGUAGAAAUAGCUCGGCGUGUGAGAUGCGAUUGUGCUAUCUUUGGAUCUUCGCUGCCAGUGCCAGGAGGAGGAGGAGGAGGAGCCGGAUUUGGAUUGGAGCAGAUGGAAGGCGUUGCUGCCUAUUAAUAGGAGAAGCCGCGGUUGCUGGUCACUGUCGUUGCCGAGUGGGAGGGAGGAGGA
RNAcentral lists this unclassified non-coding RNA (899 nucleotides) under Zea mays. RNAcentral describes it as "misc RNA Zm00001eb379930". Lineage: Eukaryota; Viridiplantae; Streptophyta; Magnoliopsida; Poales; Poaceae. The record is from RNAcentral.